AGUGAACGCUGGCGGUAGGCCUAACACAUGCAAGUCGAACGGCAGCACAGUAAGAGCUUGCUCUUACGGGUGGCGAGUGGCGGACGGGUGAGGAAUACAUCGGAAUCUACUUUUUCGUGGGGGAUAACGUAGGGAAACUUACGCUAAUACCGCAUACGACCUACGGGUGAAAGCAGGGGAUCUUCGGACCUUGCGCGAUUGAAUGAGCCGAUGUCGGAUUAGAUAGUUGGCGGGGUAAAGGCCCACCAAGGCGACGAUCCGUAGCUGGUCUGAGAGGAUGGUCGGCCACACUGGAACUGGGACACCGUCCAGACUCCUACGGGAGGCAGCAGUGGGGAAUAUUGGACAAUGGGCGCAAGCCUGAUCCAGCCAUACCGCGUGGGUGAAGGAGGCCUUCGGGUUGUAAAGCCCUUUUGUUGGGAAAGAAAAGCAGCAGGUUAAUACCCCGCUGUUCUGACGGUACCCAAAGAAUAAGCACCGGCUAACUUCGUG
RNAcentral lists this ribosomal RNA (492 nucleotides) under uncultured bacterium. RNAcentral describes it as "partial 16S ribosomal RNA". It matches the Rfam family "Bacterial small subunit ribosomal RNA", at positions 29 to 507 of the family's 1533-position model. The record is from RNAcentral.